This 257-nucleotide unclassified non-coding RNA is filed under the name uncultured Actinomycetes bacterium. RNAcentral's name for it is "uncultured actinobacterium contains 16S-23S intergenic spacer region". Lineage: Bacteria; Bacillati; Actinomycetota; Actinomycetes. The record is from RNAcentral.
UCCGAUUUGUCACCGGCAGUCUCCCAUGAGCACCCGCUUUCACGGGUUUCACCCUGCAUGUCAAGCCCAGGUAAGGUUCUUCGCGUCGCAUCGAAUUAAGCCGCAUGCUCCGCCGCUUGUGCGGGCCCCCGUCAAUUCCUUUGAGUUUUAGCCUUGCGGCCGUACUCCCCAGGCGGGGUGCUUAAUGCGUUAGCUUCGGCACGGAUGGGGUCGAUGUCCACCCACACCUAGCACCCAACGUUUACGGCUAGGACUAC